AGGGGCAUAGUUCAAUGGUAGAACGGCGGUCUCCAAAACCGCAAAUGUGGGUUCGAUUCCUACUGCCCCUGCCA
Molecule: transfer RNA, 74 nt
Filed under: Caldalkalibacillus thermarum
Lineage: Bacteria; Bacillati; Bacillota; Bacilli; Caryophanales; Bacillaceae
Also listed under: 1 other name
Description: tRNA-Trp
Rfam family: tRNA
About the family: Transfer RNA (tRNA) molecules are approximately 80 nucleotides in length.
Source: RNAcentral